Molecule: long non-coding RNA, 2049 nt
Organism: Papaver somniferum (opium poppy)
Lineage: Eukaryota; Viridiplantae; Streptophyta; Magnoliopsida; Ranunculales; Papaveraceae
Exons: 2
Source: RefSeq, a predicted model, not a curated record
AUUACCUUUUCUCCGAUGCUUCUUCUCUUGAAAAUAUUUUUCUCCCUUUUCUUUUCAAAACUGAGUUGUGAGAGAUUAGUGUAUCUCAGUGAUUUAUUUUAUUUAUUUGGAUGAUUAUGUUAUUGGUGUUUAAUAUGGAAUCAUUUUCAAUGAAGAAGCUUUGUUCUUUUCUCCCACAUAGCUAGGUUUUUCUUAUUUUCUUCAUCUUUUCUGGAUUAUGAAGAGAAAGGGGAUUUUAUUCUCAUCACAAAAGACUUAGAGAAGAAAAUCGUUGAAGAUGCUUGGGGUGGUGUUUGAGUUUGUAUUCUUGGAAUGGUGUUUGAAUUGAUAUUUUUGGAGAGAAAAUGCUUAUGACCAUGAGGUAGUUCAUAUUAUCUAAAAGAAUAAGUGACGAACUAAGAUCGUGCUUGAUCCCUUCGAGCAACAGAGAGGGUACGUAGGCAGACGCUAUGCGGUUCAGCACAACACUAUAAGGUUGUUCAUAUCAUCUGAAAGAGUUGGUUGCUGCUUGGCAGUUCAUACCAUCUCUAUUCGGAGAUGAUUGCAACUCUAGUAAUUCAUAAAAUGUAUUGGUAAGAGGUAGUCGUCGUACCGGCUGUUCAUACUAUCUAAGGAGGAGAUGAUUGCUGCUUCCAGUUCAUAUCAUCUGAGAUAGAUAAUCUGUUGAGCUUGACAAAGUAGUUCAUAUCUGUUUAACUGACGGGUCCCUUCGUGGAUGAGCUAAGGAUAAUAAUUGUUGGGUCCCUACGAGGAUGAGCUAUAACUGACAGGUCUCUACGGGGAUGAUCUUAGGCUAACAACUGUCGGGUCCCCUACGGGGAUGGGCUACUAACUGACAGGUCCCUAAUGGGAUGAGCCGUGGCAUUAACUGUCAGAUCCAAACUGGAUGAAGAUAUGAUACUUACUCGAAUAUAUAGACAUUUGCUUGGUAAAAAUCGAAUUGUUCCGAAAAAUUUAAAACCCAUUUUCUCGAGUGGUGUACCGGGAAGUCGGAGCUUUCCAAGCGGGUUGUAACCCGACCCAUUGGGAGCGAAGACUUUCUGGUCCGCUACAGUUGGUAUCAAAGUAGUUCCGGUUCAAACGGGACUGUGCGUUUGGAACUCACCAGUAUUCUACUCGUGUAAGACCCCAAAAUUUGGAACUUCGGGACUUCGGACGAAGUUCUUUUUAAGGGGUUAAUGGUGUAAGACCCCAAAAUUUUCUCGGGUUUAGGUUAACCCACCAUUUGUCAAAUUCUGCAUUUGGUAUGCCUCAAAUACUGAUAUUUUAGUAUGUUUAGCAUUUUUUUGUGCUUAAAAAAACUUUUGGUGCUUAAAUAGCAAUUUAGUUUUUAAGCAUGCUUGGCAAGUGGCAGGAUAUGAACAGGGACAUUUCAGUCAUUUUCCUAAAAUCAACUCUUACUAGAGAUGAUUCCCUUUUAUUUUCUGGGCGAUCUACAUUACCUUUUAUUCUUGAAAAUAUUUUUCUCCCUUUUCUUUCAAAAAUGAGUUGUGAGAGAUUAGUUUAACUCAGUGAUUUAUUUUAUUUAUUUGGAUGAUUAUGUUUUUGGUGUUUAAUAUGGAAUCAUUUUCAAUGAAGAAGCUUUGUUCUUUUCUCCCACAUAGCUAGGUUUUUCUUAUUUUCUUCAUUUUUUAUGGAUUAUGAAGAGAAAGGGGAUUUUAUUCUCGUCACAAAAGACUUAGAGAAGAAAAUCGUUGCAGAUGCUUGGGGUGGUGUUUGAGUUUGUAUUCUUGGAUUGGUGUUUGAAUUGAUAUUUUUAUGAGAGAAAAUGCUUAUGACCAUGAGGUUAGUAUGAUUUCUACAUAUCUUGUGUUCCAUGCAAUUUCGGAAAAAAUUGAUGAAAUGGGUGGUUAUAAAUUAAGAUGAACCCAUGUAUAUCAAAACAAUUCAUGAAUUCCUUCAUAAGUUACUUUGAUUUGAUAUAAUUGGAAAUUAGGGUUGUUGUUGGGAAAUUGGGGAUUUUUGUUAUGAUCCAUGUCUUUAUGUAAAUUGAUGAAAUGGGUAUUUUCUAAUCAUGGAGAUUUGUGGUUUGAUUGCUACAAUUUAUCU